RNAcentral lists this ribosomal RNA (254 nucleotides) under uncultured bacterium. RNAcentral describes it as "partial 16S ribosomal RNA". It matches the Rfam family "Bacterial small subunit ribosomal RNA", at positions 524 to 776 of the family's 1533-position model. The record is from RNAcentral.
UACGGGGGGGGCAAGCGUUGUUCGGAAUUACUGGGCGUAAAGGGCUCGUAGGCGGCCAACUAAGUCAGACGUGAAAUCCCUCGGCUCAACCGGGGAACUGCGUCUGAUACUGGAUGGCUUGAAUCCGGGAGAGGGAUGCGGAAUUCCAGGUGUAGCGGUGAAAUGCGUAGAUAUCUGGAGGAACACCGGUGGCGAAGGCGGCAUCCUGGACCGGUAUUGACGCUGAGGAGCGAAAAGCCAGGGGAGCAAACGGG